This 672-nucleotide long non-coding RNA is filed under the name Equus asinus (donkey). Its description in RNAcentral is "lncRNA (ENSEASG00005025077.1)". The record is from RNAcentral. Lineage: Eukaryota; Metazoa; Chordata; Mammalia; Perissodactyla; Equidae.
GCUACUUUCCAUCCUGCCUCUGCGAUCACCCUUCGCCGGCGUGUUCACACUCUGUCUGGCAAGAGCGGCAGGAAGGAGAGCAGCGCCGGACAGGGCGGGAGAGAAGAGGAGGGAAUUUCCACCGCUUCCCGGCACUGGCCGGGCUCAGGCACCCCAGGGCGCUCCUCCGCUCCGGCCCCUCUCUCCGCGCGGCGGCCCCGACUUCCCCCCAAAACUAGUCCUGGGGGCGGGCCGGGGUACGGAGGAGGCUUUCCCAGCGUUACGGAGAGUUCUCCAAGUUGAGGGUAGAAAGGGCGAAUGAGCAAUGUCCCCAUAGGGUGAGGGCGCAUGGAGAGGUGCGAAGGGCACAAAAGGCUAAGCCAUGGAAAGUUCAAGAGUCUGGAAGAGACCUGCCUGAGUAAAAAGUUUCUCCUUCUCUUCUCAUUAAGAGGAAAGUCAUCUCUCAAACGGAACCUUAUUAAACUUACAUCCUUUCUGAAUAUGGUAAUCCCUCUGCAUCUAUUAGUUAUUUUAAUUUUAUAUUCCUGGUACAAUCUGAUUCCAAAAAGUGUCCAGUCAGCUGAUGGGGAUAAAGGAUCUACUUUUUUCCUGGGAAAAAUUCUAGUGGCCAAAAAGAAUGGGAGAGUUUAUUUAGAGCCAGUAGAAUUGGUCUCAGGCAGUGUUAAGAUGGAG